CUGUUUGCAGACAGUUCAGACCCAGACUGUGCUUUUCUUAUAAGAAUGAUAAAGGUGGUACCACAGUUGAAUACUUAAGAGUGGUGUUAGGUUCAAAGUUAACUUUAGCUGUUUGCAGACAGUUCA
Long non-coding RNA from Protopterus annectens (West African lungfish), 126 nucleotides. RefSeq lists it as uncharacterized. The transcript has 3 exons. NCBI's taxonomy places the organism in Eukaryota, Metazoa, Chordata, Ceratodontiformes, Protopteridae. The record is from RefSeq and is a predicted model, not a curated record.